UACGUAGGUGGCAAGCGUUGUCCGGAUUUACUGGGUGUAAAGGGCGUGUAGGCGGGAAAUUAAGUCAGAAGUGAAAGUACAUGGCUCAACUGUGGGAGUGCAUCUGAAACUGAUUUUCUUGAGUACAGGAGAGGAAAGCGGAAUUCCAAGUGUAGCGGUGAAAUGCGUAGAGAUUUGGAGGAACACCAGUGGCGAAGGCGGCUUUCUGGACAGUAACUGACGCUGAGGCGAGAAAGCGUGGGGAGCAAACAGG
RNAcentral lists this ribosomal RNA (253 nucleotides) under uncultured bacterium. RNAcentral's name for it is "partial 16S ribosomal RNA". It matches the Rfam family "Bacterial small subunit ribosomal RNA", at positions 524 to 776 of the family's 1533-position model. The record is from RNAcentral.